UGGUGGAAUAUGUAUACUCGAAUACGAUCCUGUGUGUGGUUCAGACGGCAACACCUACAGCAACACGUGUUUCCUUGACUCCGCCGUGUGUAAGAAACCUCACCUUGAACUGGAGCGUGUGGGCCGCUGUGAGGACGGCCCAGGGACCCAGUGGUGGGCAGGUGUCGAUGAAGACUGAACCUUGACUGAAAGGCCAUCAAUCAACACACAGACAGUCACUACUGCUCCUGAUCCACCUGACUGAAGCCUCUCACUUCACUCUUAUUGUGUGCUUCACCUGUCACUCAGUAAAUACCAAUUAACUAACA
Long non-coding RNA from Homarus americanus (American lobster), 308 nucleotides. RefSeq lists it as uncharacterized. NCBI's taxonomy places the organism in Eukaryota, Metazoa, Arthropoda, Malacostraca, Decapoda, Nephropidae. The transcript is spliced from 2 exons. The record is from RefSeq and is a predicted model, not a curated record.